RNAcentral lists this ribosomal RNA (459 nucleotides) under uncultured bacterium. Its description in RNAcentral is "bacterial SSU rRNA". It matches the Rfam family "Bacterial small subunit ribosomal RNA", at positions 68 to 526 of the family's 1533-position model. The record is from RNAcentral.
GGUACAGGUCUUCGGAUGCUGACGAGUGGCGAACGGGUGAGUAAUACAUCGGAACGUGCCCGAGAGUGGGGGAUAACGAAGCGAAAGCUUUGCUAAUACCGCAUACGAUCUCAGGAUGAAAGCAGGGGACCGCAAGGCCUUGCGCUCACGGAGCGGCCGAUGGCAGAUUAGGUAGUUGGUGGGAUAAAAGCUUACCAAGCCGACGAUCUGUAGCUGGUCUGAGAGGACGACCAGCCACACUGGGACUGAGACACGGCCCAGACUCCUACGGGAGGCAGCAGUGGGGAAUAUUGCACAAUGGGCGCAAGCCUGAUGCAGCGACGCCGCGUGAGGGAUGACGGCUUCGGGUUGUAAACUGCUUUUGUACGGAACGAAACGGUCCUGGUUAAUACCUGGGGCUAAUGACGGUACCGUAAGAAUAAGCACCGGCUAACUACGUGCCAGCAGCCGCGGUAAUAA